Picea glauca (white spruce) is the source of this 121-nucleotide non-coding RNA. The record is from Rfam. NCBI's taxonomy places the organism in Eukaryota, Viridiplantae, Streptophyta, Pinopsida, Pinales, Pinaceae.
ACAUGCUUACAACAUAGCUUUAAUGCAUCGGAUCCCAUUAGAACUUUGUAGUUAAGCACGCUCAGGCUAGAUUAGUACUGGGAUGGAUGACCGCCCGAGAAGUCCUAGUGUUUUACAUGCA